Non-coding RNA from Pelobates cultripes (western spadefoot toad), 355 nucleotides. The record is from the annotation of a GenBank genome assembly. NCBI's taxonomy places the organism in Eukaryota, Metazoa, Chordata, Amphibia, Anura, Pelobatidae.
UUUUUCUGAGCUAAAAAAGGUUUUAAACCUUUCUUCAUAGCUAAAAUGUUCCAUACUGGUUUAUUAAUUUUGUAGCCAGCCUCUGAACUCUUUCUAGUGUCAUAAUAUCCUUCUUUAGUUACUAACGUCCUUGACUUUUUGUAAAAAAACAAAAAACAAACACAAAACCCCCCCACAAAACUUACUUGCAGUAAGCUCGAGUUAAGUGAAAAUGAUCUUCUUAAAACAAUUCUAGUUACCUUAACCCCUUAAGGACGGAGCCAAUUGUACAAGUUCAAAACAAAAUGUAAAAAAAACCUGGAAUUUGCGCAAUAUGUUGUUCAACCACAAUUCGCCUCUUUCAUAUUAAGUAAAC